GUUUACCAGUUUGGCUUCAGACUACGGUAGGAGGCUGCUGGAUGCAGGGGUUGAGCAACUGGGGGCUGCUGCAGUUGAAUAGACCAGGGAAAGCGGCGGCCUGCCCUGUAGGUUUCCUAGCUUGUCAGUUUAAUGACACAGGGAGUGAAUGCUCCCAGAUGAUGAGGAAAUUGCUUGUUCAUCCAAGCAACGUAAUCCAUAUGGCCAAGUGAACCAAUGACUGACCGACAAUCUGAUGAUGGGGAGGCAUCCAUUUAGGCAGGUGGUGAUGGAUGGAAAGUUUGUUGGGUUUGUGAGCUGUGUCAAACUAGUUUGCACAAGCUGCCAUUUGGAUGUCCAGUGUCCCUGCUGUUCCUUUGUGUUUUAUUUCAAAGACUUAAAAUACCUAUCAUUUCUUGCGGAACUCGGGAUGGACUGUCAGGUAAAGUGGUUUUAUGACAUCCAUGGUUGGGUCUGGGGAGCCGGGCUUAUAUGAUGAAUCUGUUUCAUCCUCUUGAAGCUUUCAGAAGGAAUCUGUCUUUCUCCUUGCUCUAUUUGCUUCUGUUGGAUUCCUCAAAGUUUUGUAAUGAUUGGUAUAUCCCUUGUUUUGAGUUCUUUUCUGGCGUUAUAUUAAAGGGUGAAGAGAUGAGCCCCCUGAAAUUGUAGCAGUUACUUGAAUUUGUCAGUUUCUUAUCGUUAGUAGAGGGUUAUCUUCUUUCAGCUUAUGUUGAGCAAAUGGACCAACCACAGGAACAAGAAAUUUCAAGCAAAUUGGGGGGGGGGUUGUCUCUCAUGCUUCAUCCCAUCUUAUGUUCUUUCUACAACCUAAGCAAUGAUAAUUCAGAUUGUGGAAUAAGUAUUCUUAAUUAUGAUUAUUUAGGAAUUUUGUGUGGAUUUGUUUUCUGUACCUUCAUUAACAUCUUGAUCUCAUACCUCACCUGCAUCCUGGUACUUUAAACAAACAAAACUACUGAUUAGUGCAGUUUAUUUCCUUGAUGAAGAUAAUUUUGCUGCCAACUUUUCCCCCAUUCUUGGCUUUCAUCCUUUGAUGGAUGUCUGGCCAGGUAUUCAUUCAUUCUCUACAAACAUUUUUAGGUCUGUCCAUUGUUAUAUUGCCCUGUGGUUCUAAGUUUGGGGAACCAGCUUUUUUCAUUAUUUGCUUUAUAUAAGAAAUUCCAUACGUGGUACACAUGCAAUCUGUUCAUUAUUUCCUAAACUCUGUUAUGGGUAAACUUUGUACAGCAUAAACAUUUCUUAGGCCUAGCUGACGCUGGUUAUGGUUGCAAUAGAUCGUGAGCUUCUAGGUUUUAAUAAGUUAUGUUUCAGAGGGUCAGCAUAAUAGUGGAUGCAAUCAAUUUGAGAGUUUUCUUUUGUGUUAGCUAAGAUUCUGCUUUUCCUUGUGCUGCAAGCUUUAUUGGUUGAGGACUUUCAAUUGUCGCCAUUUCCAAAAUUUCUGUUUCUUGAUCUGACAACUUGUCCAGAUUAAAGUAUUAUGAGAACCAUGUUAGACUAAUCUUCCAUGUGUUCCACAGCUACAGGUCGCUCACUUUGUUGGCUAGAUUAUGUUUUGCUUGCUCCAGCUCCAUUUCCAAAGUUGCACACAGGUACGAACUCAAAAAGAUGAGCAACCUGUAAUUAUUAUUUGCAGAGGAAUAACAAACACAACACUGGAUGCCAGGUUUUUUGUGGUUUUGGAGCUUUUUCCCAUAUGCGAAACCCUACUGAGAUGGAAGGAGAUUUAACCAACUUGGCAUAACUGACCAGGUAUUCAGCUCUAUACAUCAUUUUGGGAGUUUUGCUUGAACAUUAUACUACCAUGGGCAGUCAGAUACUUGGCCUCGCAGCAAAUCCAGGUCUGACAUGUAUACACCCACACACCCGCACCCACAAACAGAACUUUGUUCUAGUUUGAUGAACUUGACAUUUUGUAAAAAUAUUACUCUACAUGAACCCUGUUAUCAACAUUAUUAUCUUUUCUAAGUUCCACAGUGCUUCUAUACAAGUUUAUCAUGUCCUUGCCAUAUACUUAAUCAAGGAUGCUUAUUUUCCGAAUCAAAUAUCUGUGUAUCUCAAUGUUUUGAAAACUGAAGAUGCAGAAAACAAUUUGAUGCUUACAACUUUUUCUAACAGAUGUUACCUUAUUGCAAUCCUCACUCCUUCCUAUGAGUUCUAUCUAAUCUGCUGUCCCUUUCUUCCUUCUUUUACCUAUCUGUAGCUUCUGUAAUCUGGACCCUUUUCAGGUGCCUUAGCUGUUUUUGAUGUUUCAUGAUCUGAACAGAUUUGAUGAGGCUCCCAUCCUUUCAUCAGAAGAAUAUAAUGCAUUCUCUACGAUAAUUUACUUCAUGAACUUGUAUUAGAAGGUGAUAAAGCAUUACUUCUUGAAGUGCAUAUGCAGCAGAAAAUCUCACAUUUUACUAAAUGAUUAAAUUUGUUUUUUGCCAGCAUGAAUAUAGAUAUUCAUUUAUAACUUUAUUUCAUACAUCAUUGUGUAUAUGCUUCAUGUCCCUGCAUUCGACUGAUGCAUUUGAGAAUUUCAGACAUUUUUUAAAAGAGAUAUUGAACUAAUAGUAUGACUGACAAAUAUUGAUGGAUGAACAAGUUAUAUCUAAUUACCUGAAUAACAGUGAUAUUAUUACCCGAAUGUGCUACUCAACCCGAACUCAAACAACCUUUUCCUUUUCCUGUCAUAUCAAUGUCCAUUAUGUCUCUCUCAGUUAUUGAAGCCUGUUGUGAUACUUAAACUAUGAUGCUUGGAUGCUUGGAAGAGUCGAUCUUUUAUUGUCUGGUACUCAGCAUUAUCAACAUUUAGAUAAAUCAAGUAUGCCUGGGGAACACGAACUUUACUAAGACAAGAUUAUUUCAUCCCCUAGUGGUUUUUGAGCUGUGUUAUGUAUGCACCUGUGAUCACUAAAUUACUGGUUUUCAUAAGAGAAUGGCUAAAACUCCACCCCCCACCCCCCGCCGCACGCCAAAAGAAAAAAGAGAAGAAAAACACCACCACCACAAGAAGAAAAGAAGAAACACAAAUAGAGAAGAGAGGAACAUACACAUACUACUUUUGAGAGAGCUUACAUAAACCAGGUUCUUGCUUUAGUACCUUUAAAUUUAGCAUCUUCAUAGCACUGCCUUAUUUUGCUAUGUUAACUUGAUAUCUUUUGGUUUUAGGACCUAGAAUGCUAAUGUCCAGUUAUGGGUUGAUGUUUUAUAUACUAUAUUUUCUGGUAUUGGCUAGAAUUAGAGCUGUUUUGGAUUGGUCUAAUAAGAUGCAUUUUUCGUUGCUAAUAAAGUUACUAUGUAGAAUAGAGUUGAAUAUACCUAGUUUUUGUUUAGUUUGGAUAGUUCAAACCUUCUUGUUUUCUCUUAGAUCACACCCAGCAUUCCAUGCUAAGGAAGUAUCUAGUACUUAAUUUGGCACAUAAUGCAUCAGCUGUAAUAUUGUUUUGGAAGAGUGUGGAAUGCUUUCAUUUACUAUAACUCAACACCCCCCAGGCAAAAAAAGUAGUUAAAAAUCAUCGAAUUAGCUGAAUUAUAAUAACAAUCUACUGCUUUUCAGCGCUCCAAUGCAUCAUUUACAGUUUUGGAGUCAGUCAAUGAGAUCACGAUCGCAAUAAUAAGUCAAGUCACAAUUUAUUAUACUUGUGGAAAAAAUAUCUGUCACUAAAAAUCUGUUAUGUUUCGAUACUUCAGCAACUUCUUUUCCUUUUAGUAGAAAAUGAAAAUAAAAUAUAUAGUACCUUGUUUUAUUCUUUUGGAUAUUUGCAUAACUUCACUAUUUAAAAUAAUUAAAAAAUAUGAAAGUACUUCAUUUUUUCCUACAUUUCAUAUAAUUUUUCUUACAAAGAUUAGAUAUUUCAUAGUACUAUUUUAUACUGAUUUUGCAAUAAAAGAGUCAUGUAAAAUCUUAGAUCCGUUUGGUUUGUAGAGGGAUAUUUAAAUUAGAAAAUUAUCAAUAAUUAUGUAUAUUUUUUAUAUUAUAUUUUUAGAAAUUUAAUAUAUUUUAAAUAUAAAUAUGAGCUGAUUGGUUGACCUGGCAAUUGGAUUAUUGACUCAGGGACCCUAUCCCUUCUUCGGAUAGAUUUUCGGUUUGAAUUUAAUAACCAUACUUCUAGUGAUGGUUUCCUUAAUUUUAAUGAUAAUUUUGGUCAUAACUAAUCAUAUACUUUUAGCAAUACUCUGCUCAACUCUUAGCAGUCUUAAGAGCCAUAAAUAAUUACCAAGCAAUUAGGGAUAUUUUAGCAACAGUCCAAAAAGAUGUUAUUAUUCAGGAGAUAAUUAACAACAAUUUGGCAACCCUUCAAAAAUCGUUGGUCUAGCAACAAUCUUAAAAGCUACCACUUGUCUUCAGAUAAUUAGUUGUGAUUUAGCAAUGAAUUUGAUCUCGAUAAGGAGAUCAAAUUUUCCUAGUGUAUCUAUGGUGUCUAUGUUUGCUUAUCUUUGUUUUAGAGAGAUCGAAAACAAAAUUUUCUUGAUUAGAACAAACUAGGUUUUCCUAGCAUAUUAUAGGUCAUCACGCGGUCAUUAAUCUUCCUAUUCUAGGGCAUGCAUGUAAUUCUAUGGCAUAGAUAUUUCAAAGCUGAGGAAAACUAAUUUGGAAUGUGUUACUUUGCAGUCACUUAGGCUCCGUUUGAGGGAGCUU
This is a non-coding RNA of Phoenix dactylifera (date palm), 4615 nucleotides long. NCBI's taxonomy places the organism in Eukaryota, Viridiplantae, Streptophyta, Magnoliopsida, Arecales, Arecaceae. The record is from RefSeq and is a predicted model, not a curated record.